Molecule: transfer RNA, 86 nt
Filed under: Longispora fulva
Lineage: Bacteria; Bacillati; Actinomycetota; Actinomycetes; Micromonosporales; Micromonosporaceae
Also listed under: 4 other names
Description: tRNA-Leu
Rfam family: tRNA
About the family: Transfer RNA (tRNA) molecules are approximately 80 nucleotides in length. Their secondary structure includes four short double-helical elements and three loops (D, anti-codon, and T loops).
Source: RNAcentral
GGGGAUGUGGCGGAAUGGCAGACGCGCACGGUUCAGGUCCGUGUACUCGAAAGGGUGUGAGGGUUCAACUCCCUCCAUCCCCACCA